RNAcentral lists this ribosomal RNA (434 nucleotides) under uncultured Clostridium sp. Its description in RNAcentral is "partial 16S ribosomal RNA". It matches the Rfam family "Bacterial small subunit ribosomal RNA", at positions 341 to 792 of the family's 1533-position model. The record is from RNAcentral. Lineage: Bacteria; Bacillati; Bacillota; Clostridia; Eubacteriales; Clostridiaceae.
ACGGGAGGCAGCAGUGGGGAAUAUUGGACAAUGGGGGAAACCCUGAUCCAGCGACGCCGCGUGAGUGAAGAAGUAUUUCGGUAUGUAAAGCUCUAUCAGCAAGGAAGAAAAUGACGGUACUUGACUAAGAAGCUCCGGCUAAAUACGUGCCAGCAGCCGCGGUAAUACGUAUGGAGCAAGCGUUAUCCGGAUUUACUGGGUGUAAAGGGAGCGUAGACGGCAAAGCAAGUCUGAAGUGAAAUCCCGGGGCUCAACCCCGGAACUGCUUUGGAAACUGUUUAGCUAGAGUGCAGGAGAGGUAAGCGGAAUUCCUAGUGUAGCGGUGAAAUGCGUAGAGAUCAGGAAGAACACCGAUGGCGAAGGCAGCUUGCUGGGGACUUAUCGACGCUCAUGCUCGAAAGUGCGGGUAGCAAACAGGAUUAGAUACCCUGGUA